CCUCAGAAUGGUUGGAAAUCAUUCGGAGAGUGCAAAGGCACAAGGGAGCUUGACUGCGAGACGGACAGGUCGAGCAGGGACGAAAGUCGGGCUUAGUGAUCCGGUGGUUCCGCAUGGAAGGGCCAUCGCUCAACGGAUAAAAGCUACCCCGGGGAUAACAGGCUGAUCUCCCCCAAGAGUCCACAUCGACGGGGAGGUUUGGCACCUCGAUGUCGGCUCAUCGCAUCCUGGGGCUGUAGUCGGUCCCAAGGGUUGGGCUGUUCGCCCAUUAAAGCGGUACGCGAGCUGGGUUCAGAACGUCGUGAGACAGUUCGGUCCCUAUCCGUCGCGGGCGCAGGAAAUUUGAGAGGAGCUGUCCUUAGUACGAGAGGACCGGGAUGGACGCACCGCUGGUGUACCAGUUGUCCCGCCAGGGGCACCGCUGGGUAGCUAUGUGCGGACGGGAUAAGCGCUGAAAGCAUCUAAGCGUGAAGCCCCCCUCAAGAUGAGAUUUCCCA
Molecule: ribosomal RNA, 497 nt
Filed under: Geobacillus stearothermophilus
Lineage: Bacteria; Bacillati; Bacillota; Bacilli; Caryophanales; Anoxybacillaceae
Description: partial 23S ribosomal RNA
Rfam family: Bacterial large subunit ribosomal RNA
Source: RNAcentral